UGAUACUAAGCCAUGCGAGUCAUUGUAGCAAUACAAGGCAUACGGCUCAGUAACGCGUAGUCAACCUAGCCUAUGGACGGGAAUAACCUCGGGAAACUGAGAAUAAUGCCCGAUAGAACAUUAUGCCUGGAAUGGUUUAUGUUCCAAAUGAUUUAUCGCCGUAGGAUGGGACUGCGGCCUAUCAGUUUGUUGGUGAGGUAAUGGCCCACCAAGACUAUUACAGGUACGGGCUCUGAGAGGAGUAGCCCGGAGAUGGGUACUGAGACACGGACCCAGGCCCUAUGGGGCGCAGCAGGCGAGAAAACUUUGCAAUGUGCGAAAGCACGACAAGGUUAAUCCGAGUGGUUUCUGCUAAAGGAACCUUUUGUCAGUCCUAGAAACACUGAUGAAUAAGGGGUGGGCAAGUUCUGGUGUCAGCCGCCGCGGUAAAACCAGCACCUCAAGUGGUCAGGAUGAUUAUUGGGCCUAAAGCAUCCGUAGCCGGCUCUGUAAGUUUUCGGUUAAAUCUGUACGCUCAACGUACAGGCUGCCGGGAAUACUGCAAAGCUAGGGAGUGGGAGAGGUAGACGGUACUCGGUAGGAAGGGGUAAAAUCCUUUGAUCUAUUGAUGACCACCUGUGGCGAAGGCGGUCUACCAGAACACGUCCGACGGUGAGGGAUGAAAGCUGGGGGAGCAAACCGGAUUAGAUACCCGGGUAGUCCCAGCUGUAAACCAUGCAAACUCAGUGAUGCAUUGGCUUGUGGCCAAUGCAGUGCUGCAGGGAAGCCGUUAAGUUUGCCGCCUGGGAAGUACGUACGCAGGUAUGAAACUUAAAGGAAUUGGCGGGGGAGCACCACAAGGGGUGAAGCCUGCGGUUCAAUUGG
RNAcentral lists this ribosomal RNA (864 nucleotides) under uncultured archaeon. Its description in RNAcentral is "bacterial SSU rRNA". It matches the Rfam family "Archaeal small subunit ribosomal RNA", at positions 39 to 909 of the family's 1478-position model. The record is from RNAcentral.